Triticum dicoccoides is the source of this 2311-nucleotide RNA transcript. RefSeq lists it as uncharacterized. Lineage: Eukaryota; Viridiplantae; Streptophyta; Magnoliopsida; Poales; Poaceae. The record is from RefSeq and is a predicted model, not a curated record. The transcript is spliced from 5 exons.
UCGCUGCUCCACCCUCUCUCGAGCCCCUCGAUCCCAGAUCCCCGUCUCCAAGUCACCCUCUCCCUCCCUCAGAUCUCGAUCCGCCGCCGCCCUCACCAUAGACGAGAUCGAUCUCCUCCCUCCCUCCCGUUCUCCCCUAGCCUUAUCCACUCCGAGCCAACCAACCACUCCGGACCCCUCCUCCCCCACCCAGCCUUCUUCUUCUCCACCUCCGCCACAGGUUCCAGGAGAGCUCGCCUCGCCUUGCUGCUACCUGAAGCCACCAGCGGAGGCACGCUGGAGGGAGCAUGAAUGUCUCCGUCGUGCCCCGGAGCGACCGCGAGGUCGUCAAGGGCUCGGCCAAGGUCACGGAUCUGCAGGAAGCCAUCCAUGCCAAGCCUAAGAAGUAUUAUCCUGCUAGGCAACGGCUCACCCUCCCUGCACAACCUGGAAAAUCUGGAAAGCCAAUUGUCCUCAACCAAAAGGCCAGCCUAUCGGAAUACUGCGAGAAGGGUUCCGGGUCAUGUCUAGUACCGCUUGACAAUCACAUCAAUGCAGUGAAUGUGCUGUAGCCAGUAUUUUGCCCUCCUUGCUUGUUUGCUUGACCUCAUCUGGUACUGGUAGGGUCUUUUUGGUCACUACAGGUUGUUAGGAUCUUGAGAGGGGAUGAUUCGAAAUAAAUAGGCUCAUCUUUCAUUACUUGCUAUAUAUACAGUUCUGUUGUAUGCUUGCAAAUCUAUUUGAUUUGGUUGCUGUUUGUUCUUGUGUAUAUUAACUGUCUAUAUGUGCUCGUAUAUUAGGGUGACGUCACAGCAGGAUAUAUCUCGUGCAAGGCUCUGGUUCUUUGAGGGCCAGAAGAAGAUCUUGCUUUGUAGUGAGAUCUCACUUCUUCCACGGAUACAAGCUUGUAAAUAUGCUCGGUGAAUCAGCAAAUCCCAGGUGUAAUGUGUUUUUUUUCUCGUCUAAACCUCCUUAGAUAUGACCUACUGCUGAACUUAGUGCUGGAUGAAGCAGUCGAGUCUGAAAGAGUAGGCUUUCUAUUUUUUCUAAUGAUUGAUAGUUUCUACAGUUAGAGCUUAGAAUGAGAGUUAUGACUUAUUUGUUCACCAUAGAACAUUUUGUUCUACUAAAAUUUUGUCAAGGCUAACUUUGUACUAGAGCACUGCAUGGAGUACUAGAUUACGAAAAUGCAGAUUUAUGUUUUCUUUAAACAACAUGAUCAAUGUGGCUCUUUUGCAUUUAUAAAGAGAUAAUGUCCCUCCUUUCUUCUACAGUGUCGUGUGUAAUAAUCCUCAUCUUGCAAUUUCUAUAGUGGCGUUUAUCUAAUGCAUGUACUUGUACUGUCUCUCUGGACUGCUACUUAGCUUGGUUUCCCCAAGUGAAAGCAAGUCUUCAUGCAGUCCUUUUCACAUGAAAGAAUAGUGUUACAAAUCAAAUUUUGUUCUUAUUCUGCUAAGGUUGUUUGCAAUGGUUAUACAUAUGUUACACAAUUUUUGCUGCUCGCUAAUCAGCUUUAGAGAUGGUAACAUGGUGCUGCACUCGGAGGAUCAUCUUAUGACACACAAUCAAUUUUUGGUGUGCUCAAAAUUUUAAUUUUAGUGAUAAGGAAAGAUCCCACCUAGUUUGCUGGCUCUCUCACUUGAGUUGGUUUAACAGUAGUGGCCUCCUGAUUUGUAGUUGGGUAGGUAGCUGAGAAGACUCAUGGUGCUGGCUGGGAGCAAAAGUUUAUAUGCAUGGAUAAUGAACUUGCACUGAAUGGACACAAAUAAAGAGCUGAGUAUUAAAUUAACUUGUACUAACUGGAAACAAUAUUCUGUAUGGUGUACAUAAAUAUCGAGUUGAUAGCUGAUAUGUAGUGACCCCUUUAUCUACACACAUGUUUGGUUUAUAGCAGUGUAGGGGUUAUGCUACUACUGAUGUGGUUUAUAUGCCUGCUUUUAACUUUGCUGAUUGAAAUGGGCUGCUUUGUUUCAGAGGAGCGCUGCUGAUCUGAUGCUACGGGUUCUGCAAAACAACCCUGACAUGUGGCUGCAAGUGGUGCACAUCCUGCAGAACUACCAGAACCUCAACACGAUGUUCUACAAAUGUUGGCCUUCAUUCUUCAUAAGUUGGGUGCACAUGAGCUCUAGGAAGAAGAAUCCUAAAGAAAAACUACACCUAGCAAUGCGUUUUAGCUCAUUGGAGCUAGUUAUGUGUUGUGUAUGUUUAGUUGCAUUUUAUAGCUGAAUACCAGAUCUGUACUAUGUAUGAUUGUAAUGUACUUUGCUUGGCUGUUGUAUGAAAUAUUAUGCCUUAUUGGCUCUUUGAAUCAAAUUAUCUAAUUGCACAAAUA